GGGCUCCGCCGUGGCCCGCGGCCUGCGGGCGGCGCUAUGGCCCGUCGGGCGGCCCCACAGAGCCGCCAUAGCCGCCCGCUUCCUUUAACCCAACGUCCUCGCCGCCGGCUCCGCGCCGCCGCCAUGGCCGACGUGGAAGACGGCGAGGAACCCUGCGCCUUGUCGUCCCACUCCGGGAGCGCAGGCUCCAAGUCGGGGGGCGACAAAAUGUUCUCCCUCAAGAAGUGGAACGCGGUGGCCAUGUGGAGCUGGGACGUGGAGUGCGAUACGUGCGCCAUCUGCAGGGUCCAGGUGAUGGAUGCCUGUCUUAGAUGUCAAGCUGAAAACAAACAAGAGGAUUGUGUUGUGUUGUCUUAUAACUCAAUGGGUCAAGCAAGGGACAGAUGAAGCCCUCGUUUGAGAUUGCAUUAUUUCAGACUGCUGGCCUCUCUGAUCACAGAGAGACCGCUCUCCAGCCAAGCCACUUGGAUUCAUUGUCAUGUGAGGAGCUACGCAGCUCCUGGAUGACCUAACAGUUCAUCGCUUCUAGAAAACAACUCAGUAGAUGGAUGGCCGAUAGUGCUUAGAAGAGUCUCUCCGCCUUACAGUGGCCACCUAUGAUCAGAAAACUCUUAAAACUCAUUCAGCUUUGGUAAAUGAAAACCAGGAGGACAUUUUUCAGUAAAGCCCAGAAGAUCUCUAAGUGGUCUGGGGAGAGUGUAAUCAUUCCUUCCACAACUGCUGCAUGUCCCUGUGGGUGAAACAGAACAAUCGCUGCCCUCUCUGCCAACAGGACUGGGUGGUCCAAAGAAUCGGCAAGUGAGAGUGGUGGAAGGCUUUCUUGGUGCGGUUGUUCACAGCCCUGGGAGAUCUUGCUGUCAAGUGCCCAGCAGAGGUUAGAACACUCCAGGGAACUAAUUCUUCAGAUAGGAGUCGCCGGAUCUGUGGUUCUUUGGGACUCAUCAAAGGCAUGGUUUAGCAUUUUGACAGUUUUAAUUUUCAAAAUUCUCUACAAUUAAGAAGAUAAUUUAUUAAAGAUGGUCUUUCCUACCUCUGUGGUAUGUGUCACACACGCUGCUUAAAAGUGCUAAAAAGGAGAGAAUUCCAGGUGGAAUGAAAUUUAUAAUUUACCUAUCUACAUACAAGGGACUGUGGAAACAAUUCCAUUCACAGGAGGGCUUUUUGCAUGCUUCUGGUUGAUCAGUUAAAAAGAGAGAGAAUGUUACAGUAACAAAUAAAGUGCAGUUUAAAACCAACUCUUAUCCUCAAUUUGUUGCUAAUAUUUUUAUGGGAAGCAGGGACAAUUCAUGACAUCUUUAUUUGAUAUAAUGAUAAUUUUGAUUUUGGACCAGUGAACAGGGUAAAUAAAAUCUAACUUUCAGGCAUAUGAAAUUUUUUUUUUUUUUGGCAUAUGGAAUUUCGAUUGCCUUUUUUUUUUUUUUUUUUUUUUUUUUU
Molecule: RNA transcript, 1434 nt
Organism: Sciurus carolinensis (gray squirrel)
Lineage: Eukaryota; Metazoa; Chordata; Mammalia; Rodentia; Sciuridae
Gene: Rnf7
Gene name: ring finger protein 7
Exons: 5
Source: RefSeq, a predicted model, not a curated record